Molecule: long non-coding RNA, 484 nt
Organism: Macrobrachium nipponense
Lineage: Eukaryota; Metazoa; Arthropoda; Malacostraca; Decapoda; Palaemonidae
Exons: 3
Source: RefSeq, a predicted model, not a curated record
GGCAACAUCGUACUAGGGGUGCUUUUAUUUUUUACUUGAGUUACAUACGACUUCUCUCGUUGUAUAACACUCUUACGACUACCGUCUCAGGCCUUUGGGAAGUGGUGACGUUCGUACAUUUCACUCCGAGCUACUUCGUUAAACAGUGACGGCAGUGUCUGAAGAUCAAAUUUGAGCAAGAAGGGACAUCUAGAUCGAAAAUACAUCUCGGAAAUGGCACUCACCACUUCGCUUCUUCGCUCUGUGUGCCUGAGAGCCGUGCCACAAAUCCUCGCAAGAUCCCAGAGUUCUGCUGCCCAACCCGCACAUGUCGAAAAUGUUGAUGUCGCGAAGGCAAAAGCUGACAAAGUUAAGUUUGACUGGAGAGAUCCACUUAACCUUGAGAGUCAGCUGACGGAAGAUGAAAUUAUGAUCAGAGAUGCCUUCCAUCAAUAUUGUCAAGAAAAAUUGAUGACCCGUAUCAAGGAUGCCAACAGACAUGAGA